This 285-nucleotide long non-coding RNA is filed under the name Hordeum vulgare. RNAcentral describes it as "long non-coding RNA (HVUL_LNC009519)". The record is from RNAcentral. Lineage: Eukaryota; Viridiplantae; Streptophyta; Magnoliopsida; Poales; Poaceae.
GAAACAACGAAACAAGAUAUGAAGCCGUACAUGAUAAAAUCAUCACCACACACUCAAAUGGCACAACUCUGGUAUUUCCAGGUUGCCAAGACAUAAAACAAACCAUCAUGGAUGGGGUGGAGCAAGGAAGAACAACACAUCCUCAACUAAGCACUCACAAACAUCAAAAUGACAAAACUACACAAUCUGCCAUAAACUGCAUCAUAGCACUUUGUGAGCUACAUGCAAAGCACCUACAGCCACCCAAAUAUGACAAAUAAUAUAUGUGGCUGUAUCUAUCCAAGA